CGCCAUCUCCUUCGCCUCCACCACCUCCAGUUUACUCCCCUCCUCCACCUCCACCAGUUUACUCACCUCCACCACCCCCUCCUCCCCCACCGCCACCACCACCUGUUUAUUUUCCGCCACCACCUCCACCUUCACCACCACCACCGUCUCCCCCUCCACCCUCACCCCCACCACCUUCUCCAUCACCGCCUCCCCCUCCCUCGCCACCACCACCGGUAUUAUCGCCCCCGCCUCCAGUUUAUUGCGUCCGUUCCCCACCACCGCCACCGCCAAAUUCUCCCCCGCCUCCCAUUUAUUCUCCACCACCACCUCCAGUUCAUUCACCGCCCCCACCAAGUCCUUACUAUAGUUCACCACCGCCCCCGCCGCCACAUCAUUCACCUCCACCACCUCCCCACUCGCCACCCCCGCCUCCACCUAUCUAUCCAUACGCAUCACCGCCACCGCCACCCGUGCAUUCCCCACCACCACCUGUCCAUUCUCCACCACCUCCAUGCAUAGAACCGCCUCCUCCUUCUCCACCACCCCCAUCACCACCUCCAUGCAUAGAACCGCCUCCUCCUCCUUCUCCACCACCAUGUGUAGAAUAUUCGCCACCUCCACCAUCACCACACUCACCACCGCCACCACCAGUUCAUUACUUGCCUCCACCAUCACCAUCACCCCCACCACCACCUGUGUAUGCUUCUCCGCCACCUCCACCAUCUCUGCCUCCCCCAGUUUACUACCAUUCUCCGCCCCCACCCUCACCACCUC
This 756-nucleotide long non-coding RNA is filed under the name Vitis vinifera (wine grape). RNAcentral's name for it is "long non-coding RNA (VVIN_LNC003405)". Lineage: Eukaryota; Viridiplantae; Streptophyta; Magnoliopsida; Vitales; Vitaceae. The record is from RNAcentral.